CCAAAUCCCUAGGUCCCUGUAUGCCCAUCGCAGUGGUGACCAAUUCGGAUUGUAACUCCAGUAUUGGUUUGGUUAGUUGGACCGCCAGCAAUAUAAAUCAGACAUACAUUGCUGUGGCAACAGGACUUGAUGGCCACAACCACGAGUGUGUCACAAAUACCAGCUCCUGCACCUGGGACGACCUACACUGUGGUGAGAAGUACACUGUCCAUGUGAUGGCGAGGAAUGGAAACCUCACCGGUCUGCCAAGCAAUGGCUCGCCCAUUCAUACAGGUAUGUGAACUGUCCACAAACCUUUUCCUAAAUCCACCAAUUAAUCCAUCUUUCAGUUUCAUGCAUGUUUUCCAGAAAUGAUAAUAAGAUUGUUAAAAUCCUGUUCAUAUCCUUCUCCAAAUCCAUAGGUCCCUGUAUGCCCCAGGCAGUGGUGACCAAUUCAGAAUGUAACUCCAGUAUUGCCUCAGUUAGUUGGACUGCCAACAAUCUAAAUCAGACAUACAUUGCUGUGGCAACAGGACUUGAUGGCCACAACCACGAGUGUGUCACAAAUACCAGCUCCUGCACCUGGGACGACCUACACUGUGGUGAGAAGUACACUGUCCAUGUGAUGGCGAGGAAUGGAAACUGCACCGGUCUGCCAAGCAAUGGCUCGCCCAUUCAUACAGGUAUGUGAACUGUCCACCAAUUUUUUUCCUCAAUCCACCAAUUAAUCUGUCUUUCAGUUUCAUGCAAGUUUUCCAGAAAUCAUAAUAAGAUUGUUAAAAUCCUGUUCACAUCCUUCUCCAAAUCCCUAGGUCCCUGUAUGCCCAUGGCAGUGGUGACCAAUUCGGAUUGUAACUCCAGUAUUGGUUUGGUUAGUUGGACCGCCAGCAAUAUAAAUCAGACAUACCUUGCUGUGGCAACAGGACUUGAUGGCCACAACCACGAGUGUGUCACAAAUACCAGCUCCUGCACCUGGGACGACCUACACUGUGGUGAGGAGUACACUGUCCAAGUGAUGGCGAGAAAUGGAAACUGCACUAGUCUGCCAAGCAAUGGCCCUAUCAUUCAUAUGGGUCCUUGUAUGCUCCAAGCAGUGGUGACCAAUUCGGAAUGUAACUCCAGUAUUGGCUCAGUUAGUUGGACUGCCAGCAGCAUGAAUGAGACAUACAUCGCUGUGGCAACAGGACUUGAUGGCCACACACACGAGUGUUUCACAAAUACCAGCUCCUGCACCUGGGACGACCUACACUGUGGUGAGAAGUACACUGUCCAUGUGAUGGCGAGGAAUGGAAACCUCACCGGUCUGCCAAGCAACGGCUCGCCUAUUCAUACAGGUAUGUGAACUGUCCACAAACCUUUUCCUAAAUCCACCAAUUAAUCCAUCUUUCAGUUUCAUGCAUGUUUUCCUGAAAUUAUAAUAAGAUUGUUAAAAUCCUGUUCAUAUCCUUCUCCAAAUCCAUAGGUCCCUGUAUGCCCCAGGCAGUGGUGACCAAUUCAGAAUGUAACUCCAGUAUUGCCUCAGUUAGUUGGACUGCCAACAAUCUAAAUCAGACAUACAUUGCUGUGGCAACAGGACUUGAUGGCCACAACCACGAGUGUGUCACAAAUACCAGCUCCUGCACCUGGGACGACCUACACUGUGGUGAGAAGUACACUGUCCAUGUGAUGGCGAGGAAUGGAAACUGCACCAGUCUGCCAAGCAAUGGCUCGCCCAUUCAUACAGGUAUGUGAACUGUCCACCAAUUUUUUUCCUUAAUCCACCAAUUAAUCCGUUUUUCAGUUUCAUGCAAGUUUUCCAGAAAUCAUAAUAAGAUUGUUAAAAUCCUGUUCACAUCCUUCUCCAAAUCCCUAGGUCCCUGUAUGCCCAUGGCAGUGGUGACCAAUUCGGAUUGUAACUCCAGUAUUGGUUUGGUUAGUUGGACCGCCAGCAAUAUAAAUCAGACAUACCUUGCUGUGGCAACAGGACUUGAUGGCCACAACCACGAGUGUGUCACAAAUACCAGCUCCUGCACCUGGGACGACCUACACUGUGGUGAGGAGUACACUGUCCAAGUGAUGGCGAGAAAUGGAAACUGCACUAGUCUGCCAAGCAAUGGCCCUAUCAUUCAUAUGGGUAUGAGACCUUUCCACUGUUGAUGGACUUGAUCCACCAUUUCAAGUGUCUUUAACAGUUAUACUUGGUUUCCAGAGAUCUCAAUACAAUUGGUGAUUUACUGUUCACAUCCACCAUCGAAUCCCUAGGUCCCUGUAUGCUCCAAGCAGUGGUGACCAAUUCGGAAUGUAACUCCAGUAUUGGCUCAGUUAGUUGGACUGCCUGCAGCAUGAAUGAGACAUACAUCGCUGUGGCAACAGGACUUGAUGGCCACACACACGAGUGUUUCACAAAUACCAGCUCCUGCACCUGGGACGACCUACACUGUGGUGAGAAGUACACUGUCCAUGUGAUGGCGAGGAAUGGAAACUGCACCGGUCUGCCAAGCAAUGGCUCGCCCAUUCAUACAGGUAUGUGAACUGUCCACCAAUUUCUACCUUAAUCCACCAAUUAAUCCGUCUUUCAGUUUCAUGCAAGUUUUCCAGAAAUCAUAAUGAGAUUAUUAAAAUCCUGUUCACAUCCUUCUACAAAUCCCUAGGUCCCUGUAUGCCCAUGGCAGUGGUGACCAAUUCGGAUUGUAACUCCAGUAUUGGUUUGGUUAGUUGGACCGCCAGCAAUAUAAAUCAGACAUACCUUGCUGUGGCAACAGGACUUGAUGGCCACAACCACGAGUGUGUCACAAAUACCAGCUCCUGCACCUGGGACGACCUACACUGUGGUGAGGAGUACACUGUCCAAGUGAUGGCGAGGAAUGGAAACUGCACUAGUCUGCCAAGCAAUGGCCCUAUCAUUCAUAUGGGUAUGAGACCUUUCCACUGUUGAUGGACUUGAUCCACCAUUUCAAGUGUCUUCAACAGUUGUACUUGGUUUCCAGAGAUCUCAAUACAAUUGGUGAUCUACUGUUUACAUCCACCAUCGAAUCCCUAGGUCCCUGUAUGCUCCAAGCAGUGGUGACCAAUUCGGAAUGUAACUCCAGUAUUGGCUCAGUUAGUUGGACUGCCAGCAGCAUGAAUGAGACAUACAUCGCUGUGGCAACAGGACUUGAUGGCCACACACACGAGUGUUUCACAAAUACCAGCUCCUGCACCUGGGACGACCUACACUGUGGUGAGAAGUACACUGUCCAUGUGAUGGCGAGGAAUGGAAACCUCACCGGUCUGCCAAGCAAAGGCUCGCCCAUUCAUACAGGUAUGUGAACUGUCCACAAACCUUUUCCUAAAUCC
Long non-coding RNA from Gadus morhua (Atlantic cod), 3294 nucleotides. Lineage: Eukaryota; Metazoa; Chordata; Actinopteri; Gadiformes; Gadidae. The record is from Ensembl.